RNAcentral lists this unclassified non-coding RNA (341 nucleotides) under soil metagenome. RNAcentral describes it as "partial contains 5.8S ribosomal RNA, internal transcribed spacer 2, and large subunit ribosomal RNA". The stretch from base 1 to 120 matches the Rfam family "5.8S ribosomal RNA", at positions 35 to 154 of the family's 154-position model. The record is from RNAcentral.
GAUGAAGAACGUAGCGAAAUGCGAUAAGUAGUGUGAAUUGCAGAAUUCAGUGAAUCAUCGAAUCUUUGAACGCACAUUGCGCCCUUUGGUAUUCCAAAGGGCAUGCCUGUUCGAGCGUCAUUUGUACCCUCAAGCUUUGCUUGGUGUUGGGCGUCUUGUCUCUAGCUUUGCUGGAGACUCGCCUUAAAGUAAUUGGCAGCCGGCCUACUGGUUUCGGAGCGCAGCACAAGUCGCACUCUCUAUCAGCAAAGGUCUAGCAUCCAUUAAGCCUUUUUUUCAACUUUUGACCUCGGAUCAGGUAGGGAUACCCGCUGAACUUAAGCAUAACAAUAAGCGGAGGA